UACGUAUGGUGCAAGCGUUAUCCGGAUUUACUGGGUGUAAAGGGAGCGUAGGUGGUUUGGCAAGCCAGAAGUGAAAACCCGGGGCUCAACUCCGUGGAUUGCUUUUGGAACUGUUGAACUAGAGUGCAGGAGGGGUAAGCGGAAUUCCCAGUGUAGCGGUGAAAUGCGUAGAUAUUGGGAAGAACACCGGCGGCGAAGGCGGCUUACUGGACUGUAACUGACACUGAGGCUCGAAAGCGUGGGGAGCAAA
RNAcentral lists this ribosomal RNA (250 nucleotides) under uncultured prokaryote. Its description in RNAcentral is "partial 16S ribosomal RNA". It matches the Rfam family "Bacterial small subunit ribosomal RNA", at positions 524 to 772 of the family's 1533-position model. The record is from RNAcentral.